Molecule: non-coding RNA, 185 nt
Filed under: Verrucomicrobiota bacterium
Lineage: Bacteria; Pseudomonadati; Verrucomicrobiota
Description: Verrucomicrobia bacterium 6S RNA
Rfam family: 6S / SsrS RNA
About the family: E. coli 6S RNA was the first non coding RNA to be sequenced, but its function was unknown until recently. It consists of 184 nucleotides that fold into an extended hairpin structure with a large single-stranded internal bulge. The 6S RNA specifically associates with RNA polymerase holoenzyme containing the sigma70 specificity factor.
Source: RNAcentral
UUUACCCUGCGAUGUUCGAGAUUACGAGGUGUGAUUCCCGAACCGCUAUUUGAUGAAACUAGGAGGCUGUGUCGCCCGCAGAAAAUGACAGGCCUUCAUUGGAAGUCAGACGCUGCGACGACGGUCAUCCACCCGUUACUGAAAGGGAACGGGUAAUCCGCCUGAACGGCAUCGGCGGGGUAACA